GAAACUGAAAACCAGCUUGGGCAAUGAAAACAAACUAAAAGCACCUUUGGCACCAAGCGUGACGUCAGCGCAUCCGCCGACAUCUUGACACAUCGUCAUUGUGCAUGUGCGCCGAUGAUGUCAUAGCACCUGCCCAUCUUCGGCCUUUUGUGACUAGCGGCACCCAGGGACCAGCGCCUCUGGAGGUGUGUUUGACAUCACAUCCCUUCGAGGGUAAAACGCUAAAAGUGAACAUGUAAUGUCUACUGAUUCCUUCCAUCCAUCUGCUGCUGCCUGCAAACAAAAAUCAAAAUGCAAGGAGUCAUUUAUCAAAUAAGUGUGACUCUUCUCCUCGCAGUCCAGCAGGCAUGGAGUCGGCUCUACGUCACUUCAGAAAUCAAAUGCAUUCGACCAGGGGAAAUAAAAGUGUCAAAAGGAGGUGUUCCCUGCAUAGCUCAACAUCUAGCCUAUAACUGCAGCUUUCCUUAUCAGGGCAACAAUGGCUAUCAAUUUGAACUACAACAUCUAGCACUGCAAAAAAAAACAAAAACAAAUCAGAAUGAUGCUGAGAGUUGUAGUUGAGAAUUCAGUUAUCAAGGAAAUGAGUCAGCAUGAAGGCACUUGUGUGUGCCUAAUUACAAUGCUUCCAAUAAUCACCUGUUUUAUAAUCAUUAGUGAUGGGCGAAUCUGUCCCAUUUCGCUUUGAGAAAUUCACGAAACUCCAGAAAAAAACACAAAACAAAAAAAAAUUGCAAAAUGCAUUGAAAAUUCUGACACCUGAUAAUUUUUGACAAGAGCAAAAAUUUUCAUACGCGCAACUCUUUUGUCCAAAUGCAUUAAAAGUCAAUGGCAUCCGAAUAAUUCUGACGUGGGACAAUUUUGAUGAGCGACAGUUUUUGCAUGCGCGUCUCUUUUGACCAGAUGCAUUGAAGUCAAUGGGGUUCAAAUAAUUUUGACGUUUGACAAUUUUGACAAGCAACAAUGUUUACACGUGCGACUCUUUUGACCAGAUGCAUUGAAGUCAAUGGGCUUCCGAAUAAUUUUGACGUGCAACAAUUAUUUUGUUGCAGCGAAUUUUCCCACACCCAAUUUUCAUGGCAGUUUCUCGAAAACAUUUGCUGUCGGUGGAAUCCGCAAAUUUGCCACUAUUCUGUGCCUGGCGAAUAAAUUCGCCCUUCACUAAUAAUCAUAUUUCACUCAUCUACUCCAUAACGCCUGCAGGUGGAAUAGCCCUUAGGGCCCUUUGGAGCAAUGAUACAUGAGUGUUUUUUCAUCAGCAUUAAAUAAACAUGCCUGAAAUGC
Xenopus laevis (African clawed frog) is the source of this 1281-nucleotide long non-coding RNA. RefSeq lists it as uncharacterized. The transcript is spliced from 2 exons. The record is from RefSeq and is a predicted model, not a curated record. NCBI's taxonomy places the organism in Eukaryota, Metazoa, Chordata, Amphibia, Anura, Pipidae.